This 465-nucleotide ribosomal RNA is filed under the name Vreelandella stevensii. RNAcentral describes it as "partial 16S ribosomal RNA". It matches the Rfam family "Bacterial small subunit ribosomal RNA", at positions 338 to 795 of the family's 1533-position model. The record is from RNAcentral. Lineage: Bacteria; Pseudomonadati; Pseudomonadota; Gammaproteobacteria; Oceanospirillales; Halomonadaceae.
CCUAAGGGUGGCAGCAGUGGGGAAUAUUGGACAAUGGGCGAAAGCCUGAUCCAGCCAUGCCGCGUGUGUGAAGAAGGCCUUCGGGUUGUAAAGCACUUUCAGUGGGGAAGAAAGCCUUGGGGCUAAUACCCUCGAGGAAGGACAUCACCCACAGAAGAAGCACCGGCUAACUCCGUGCCAGCAGCCGCGGUAAUACGGAGGGUGCGAGCGUUAAUCGGAAUUACUGGGCGUAAAGCGCGCGUAGGCGGUCUGAUAAGCCGGUUGUGAAAGCCCCGGGCUCAACCUGGGAACGGCAUCCGGAACUGUCAGGCUAGAGUGCAGGAGAGGAAGGUAGAAUUCCCGGUGUAGCGGUGAAAUGCGUAGAGAUCGGGAGGAAUACCAGUGGCGAAGGCGGCCUUCUGGACUGACACUGACGCUGAGGUGCGAAAGCGUGGGUAGCAAACAGGAUUAGAUACCCGGGUAGUC